Molecule: ribosomal RNA, 325 nt
Filed under: uncultured Corythion
Lineage: Eukaryota; Cercozoa; Imbricatea; Euglyphida; Trinematidae
Description: SSU rRNA
Rfam family: Eukaryotic small subunit ribosomal RNA (bases 52-325)
Source: RNAcentral
GAUUUCUGACAAAGCGGGGCGGCCCGUGCUCUUAAUGGGUGCUGUGUGCCGUGUCGUGUUUGUCAUCCUUCCAGAGAGCUACGUCUACCAUUCAUUUGGCCGGACGUACGCGAUCUGGAUCGAUUACUUUGAAAAAAUUAGAGUGUUUAAAGCAGGCUUAUGCUGUGAAUACAUUAGCAUGGAAUAAUAAUAUAGGACUUUGGUUCUAUUUUGUUGGUUUCUAGGACUGAAGUAAUGAUUGAUAGGGAUAGUUGGGGGUGCUAGUAUUCAGUGGCCAGAGGUGAAAUUCUUGGAUUCACUGAAGACUAACUACUGCGAAAGCAUU